AUUGAACGCUGGCGGAAUGCUUUACACAUGCAAGUCGAACGGUAGAGGGGGCAACCCCUCGAGAGUGGCGAACGGGUGAGUAAUAUAUCGGAACGUGCCCAGUCGUGGGGGAUAACGUAGCGAAAGUUACGCUAAUACCGCAUACGAUCUAGGGAUGAAAGCGGGGGAUCGCAAGACCUCGCGCGAUUGGAGCGGCCGGUAUCAGAUUAGGUAGUUGGUGGGGUAAAGGCUCACCAAGCCAACGGUCUGUAGCUGGUCUGAGAGGACGACCAGCAAGACUGGACCUGAGACACGGUCCAGACCCCUCCGGGAGGCAGCAGUGGGGAAUUUUGGACAAUGGACGCAAGUCUGAUCCAGCCAUUCCGCGUGCAGGAUGAAGGCCCUCGGGUUGUAAACUGCUUUUGUACGGAACGAAAAGGUCUCUCUUAAUACGGGGGACUCAUGACGGUACCGUAAGAAUAGGCACCGGCUAACUACGUGCCAGCCGCCGCGGUAA
RNAcentral lists this ribosomal RNA (496 nucleotides) under uncultured bacterium. RNAcentral describes it as "partial 16S ribosomal RNA". It matches the Rfam family "Bacterial small subunit ribosomal RNA", at positions 30 to 523 of the family's 1533-position model. The record is from RNAcentral.